Molecule: ribosomal RNA, 468 nt
Filed under: uncultured bacterium
Lineage: Bacteria
Description: partial 16S ribosomal RNA
Rfam family: Bacterial small subunit ribosomal RNA
Source: RNAcentral
GACGAACGCUGGCGGCGUGCUUAACACAUGCAAGUCGAACGGAAAGGCCCUGCUUUUGUGGGGUGCUCGAGUGGCGAACGGGUGAGUAACACGUGAGUAACCUGCCCUUGCCUUUGGGAUAACUUCAGGAAACUGGGGCUAAUACCGGAUAGGAGCUCCUGCUGCAUGGUGGGGGUUGGAAAGUUUCGGCGGUUGGGGAUGGACUCGCGGCUUAUCAGCUUGUUGGUGGGGUAGUGGCUUACCAAGGCUUUGACGGGUAGCCGGCCUGAGAGGGUGACCGGCCACAUUGGGACUGAGAUACGGCCCAGACUCCUACGGGAGGCAGCAGUGGGGAAUAGUGCACAAGGGGCGGAAGCCUGAUGCAGCAACGCCGCGUGCGGGAUGACGGCCUGCGGGUUGUAAACCGCUUUCGCCUGUGACGAAGCGUGAGUGACGGUAAUGGGUAAAGAAGCACCGGCUAACUACGUG